UGUCCCGAGCCCGUUCCUGAGCCCUUUUCUGGGUCAUGCCUCAUGCAAGCCUCUAUCUGGGUCUGCUCCCAGCCCUGAUCCGGCGCUGUUUCCUGAGUCCCUUUCUGGGCCUGUUCCGAGAGCCCCUUUAGGGCUCGAGCUCGUUUCCUGAGCCUCGCUUCCUACCCUUUCUGGUCUGCCUCUGAGCCUCUAUCUGGGUCUGCUCCAGCCCUGAUCCCGCGGCCCGUUCCUGAGUCCCGUUUUCUGGGCCUGUUCCCGAGCCCGUUCCUGAGCCCCUUUCUGGGUCUGCCUCUGAGCCUCUAUCUGGGUCUGCUCCCAGCCCUGAUCCCGGGCCCGUUCCUGAGUCGCCUUUCUUGGGCCUGUUCCCGAGCGCUUUCUGGGCCGCUGUUCCCUCCCGAGCCUCGUUCCUGAGCCCCUUUCUGGGGCCUGACCCUGAGCCUCUAUGUGGGUCUGCUCCGACCUGUCCCGAGCGCGUUCCUAGGCCCCUUUCUGGUCUGGCCUCUGAGCCUCUA
Molecule: long non-coding RNA, 512 nt
Filed under: Pan troglodytes (chimpanzee)
Lineage: Eukaryota; Metazoa; Chordata; Mammalia; Primates; Hominidae
Description: lncRNA (ENSPTRG00000053547.1)
Source: RNAcentral